GAUACAGUUAAGUGUUUUUGUGUUAUUUUUUGGAAUCUAUUGCAAAUCAGUUUUUCAAGUUCUCUUCACAACAUGUAUUAGGUGAAGAAUUUUACUUCAAAGCUUAAGUUUCUUAUUGGUUUUUUGGGUGGAGUAUAGGCCUGUGGAACCACGGAGCAAAAAGUUUAGUGGUUGUGCAUAUGUUAGCCAAUAACUGGAUUUUAUGAACUUUUUUUGAGGGAGAUCCCUAGGAUUGCUAAAGAAUCAUUGUGCCACAAUUUAGUCCCUUAUAUGAAGU
Molecule: unclassified non-coding RNA, 277 nt
Filed under: Hevea brasiliensis (rubber tree)
Lineage: Eukaryota; Viridiplantae; Streptophyta; Magnoliopsida; Malpighiales; Euphorbiaceae
Source: RNAcentral